AACGAACGCUGGCGGCAGGCUUAACACAUGCAAGUUGAACGUGAUUUGCUGGGUGCUUGCACCGAGCAAUGAAAGUAGCGCACUGGUGAGUAACACGUGGGAACGUACCUUUUGGUGGGGAACAACAGUUGGAAACGACUGCUAAUACCGCAUAAGCCCUGAGGGGGAAAGAUUUAUCGCCGAAAGAACGGCCCGCGGAAGAUUAGGUAGUUGGUGGGGUAACGGCCUACCAAGCCGACGAUCGGUAGCCGGACUGAGAGGUUGAACGGCCACAUUGGGACUGAGACACGGCCCAGACUCCUACGGGAGGCAGCAGUGGGGAAUAUUGCACAAUGGGGGAAACCCUGAUGCAGCGACGCCGCGUGGAGGAAGAAGGUCUUCGGAUUGUAAACUCCUGUUGUUGAGGAAGAUAAUGACGGUACUCAACAAGGAAGUGACGGCUAACUACGUG
RNAcentral lists this ribosomal RNA (451 nucleotides) under uncultured bacterium. Its description in RNAcentral is "bacterial SSU rRNA". It matches the Rfam family "Bacterial small subunit ribosomal RNA", at positions 29 to 507 of the family's 1533-position model. The record is from RNAcentral.